Molecule: long non-coding RNA, 3652 nt
Organism: Zea mays
Lineage: Eukaryota; Viridiplantae; Streptophyta; Magnoliopsida; Poales; Poaceae
Exons: 3
Source: RefSeq, a predicted model, not a curated record
AGGAACCUCACAUCCUCCUCAAGUUGGAUAUUACUAAAGCGUUUGAUUCGGUUUCUUGGGAUUUUUUGUUAGAGGUCUUACAAUAUUUGGCUUCCAGUCGUAAAUGGUGUAACCUCUUAUGUCUUCUUCUCUCCACCUCCUCCACUCUUGUCCUGGUUAAUGGUGAGCCAGGAAGUCCAAUUUUGCAUCAUUGGGGUUGAGGCAGGGAGACCCUUUCUCACCAAUGUUAUUUCUGCUAGCCAUGGAGGUCUUAAAUGCUUUAGUUACCAAAGCUGCCCAUGAAAAUUUCCUAGAACCAUUGGAUGUUCUUCAAGCAAAGCACCGGAUUUCUUUAUAUGCUGAUGAUGUGAUUUUGUUCCUCAGACCAACUCGAAAUGAUUUAUCUCUCAUAUCUCAGCUGCUAGAUGCUUUUGGUCAUGCCUCUGGACUACGGACUAAUUUCAGUAAAAGCUCGGUGACUCCCCUUAACUGCACUGAUGCUGAUUUUGCUGCUCCUUUCUAGGCUCAUGGAUUGCGAGAUCAAGGUCUUUCCUUGAAAAUACCUUGGAAUACCUCUCACAUUUCAGAAACCAACAAAGGCUGAUCUGCUGCCAUUGAUAGACAAAAUAGCAGCUAGCCUCCCAAUUUGGAAGGCUUCUCUGUUGAGCCGUGUUGGGUGUCGUUGUGGUCUGUGCUGUCUUCACUGCCAUUCCUAUCUAACAUAUGAUGGCUAUGGAUCUCCCUAAGUGGGUCAUUAGAGCAAUUGAUAAACUUUGGCGGGGAUUCUUAUGGGCAGGCCGCCAAAAUAAUAGUGGAGGUAAUUGCCUUGUCUCGUGGGAAAAGGUUAGAGGCCGUUACAGUAUGGUGGUCUUGUGAUACUCAACCUUGAAUCAAUGGGAUGGGCCUUGCGCAUCUAUUGGUUGUGGCUAUAAAAAACAGAUUCUUUUCGAUAUUAGGAAGGUCCGCCAUUUUAGGUACCCCAUAAUGCUCGUGCUCUCUUCGAUGUUGCCCUGGAAACCAAGGUUGGGGAUGGUCAGACCACUAAAUUCUGAACAGAUCGUUGGCUGCACGGUUGCACUGUAGGUGAGCUGGCUCCUAAUCUCUUUCAAGUAAUUCCUAAACGAGCAAGGAGACAAAGCACUGUUUCUCAAACGUUGGGCUGCAGGUCUUGGACUGCUGAUAUCCAAGGUGCCCUCACUCUACAUGUGCUUGUCGAAUACCUGAAGCUCUAGGAAGUAGUCGAUGAUUUUACCUUGCAGCCUGCUGUUACAGAUCAGCACAUAUGGAAGCUAACAAAUUCAGGGUUGUACACUUCUAAAUCUGCUUACAACACCUACUUUUUGGGUUUAGUUAAGUUUGCACCUUGGAAAAGGAUUUGGAAAACAUGCCCCCCUCUUCGAUGCAAGUUCUUCAUUUGGUUAGCAAUCAAGAACAGGUGUUGGACAGCAGAUCACCUAUCAAAGCAUGGGCUGCCGCACCACUGUCUUUGCCUCCUCUGUGAUCAAGACGUGGAGAAUAUAUAACACAAUCUUGUGGCUUGUGUCUUCUCCCGGUCAUUAUGUGUGUUGGUCUGCAGGCAGUUGCUCCCCAACCUGAUGUGCGAUCUUUCUCUGCCUGGUGGUGUUGGGCAGCCAGCAGUUUGCCAAAGGAGAAGAGGAAAUGGUUUAAUUACCUAGUCAUCCUUGUGGCAUAAACUCUUUGGAAGCAUAGGAAUACGUGUGUGUUUGAGGGUCUUAAUCCUAGUGUCCCUUUAGUCUGCCAAGAAGUUGGUAAGGAGACCGAGCUUUGUUGUCUUGCAGGUAACACGCUUAAGGAGCUGCUCGGUGGGGCGCGUGCAGGGGCAGAUAUUGGGCCUGGACCACCUGAGUCGUGUCCCGGGUCAUAGCCCAAAAAUAUAGUAGAGAUUUUAGCCCAAAAUCCAAAUGAAACCAUAAGGUCUCCAGCGGCUGCCGCUGCCUCCCUCCUCGUGCGUCCCGUCCGCCGUCCGCUCGUGACUCGUCCGCGCCCACCGCCCAGCCAGUCGACCAGGCGUCCAUUCCAGCCGUCCGGCCUCCGGCGGUCCGGCCGUCUGCUCUUGCUCGUUCGCGUCGGCCAGACUUUUCUCCCCGUCCCACCGUCCGGCCGUGCGUCCAGUACUCCAGCAGCCGUGUCCAGAGGCCAGAGCGGCAGAGCCUCCCCUCCCCGUCCGGCCAGCUAGCCGGCGUCAAGCAAGCCAGCCGCUAGCCCGGCGUCCAGCAAGGCAACCGCUAGCCCGCUAGCCAGGUGUCCAGCAAGCCAAACCAAUAAUGUCUGUUCAAAUUCACGUGCUAACUUUGAUGAAGUUAUUAGAGGCGGGGAAGGACCAAAUCGUCUCUAAUUAGGUGUGGAGCAAGGGACGAUGGUCGAUGGCUGAGGUGAAGGUCAUGCAGACUCGUGCUGAUGGACCGAGAGCGAUGAAGGGCGAGUGUUGGGUCUUGACUGACGGAUCAGAGCAGCCAGGUGACCAACCGGGGUGGCUGACACCUGGGACACACACUUGCGCGAGGACGUGGCGGAGUGGACCGUGUUGCCGACAUGGUCUAGGACUGGUGGGACACGCGUCUGGUCGUGGAGGACGUGCCCGAGGUGCAGUGCUCAUGACAGGUUUGGUGGUUUGGGCCUCAAAACCACCUAGCGUUACAGAUGGCGGGUUUUGCUGAGUUUGGGUCUCAAAACUCGGUGGUGGCGGUUCCGGAGGGAACCGGUGGCAGCACGUGGCGUGAUCGUGGAGGGUGCGUCAAGGUGAAGCAACUCCGUGUGAAUGACGUGGCCGUCGGAUCGAAAACCUAAGAGUUGGUCCAUUUCGCCCCCGGUGGAGUGGAUAGGCUUUAUGUAAUUAGGGGUAGUUUAUGAAGUGAGAAUAACCCUAUAUAAAUAGAGAGAAGGAUUGGUUAGUUCAGCAUCUCUUGACUGCCAUUUGUUUAGAGCACUCAUUCUAGAGCUCUUAGUUUUCUCUCUAGGUAGACACCAGUUGAACCGAUGGAUCCACAACGAUUUUGUACUUCGACUGUGUUCUUGAUUUUUCAUGUUUAAUCAGAGGAAGCGACGCCGGUCCGGCCCAUAUGGCUCUUUGGCUUCAAAUCUCAUUUUGUACCCUUGCUGGAAUUUUUGAAGUUUUAUAGUCUUGGUUUCUCCCUUUCCCUGAUCUUGUGUUUUGGUGGAAAACCUUUGAUUAUUUUGAGAGGAUUUGGUUUGGGGAUUGAUUGGUGGUGAGUUGCACUCUUCGGGCCACUGCAUACACCUAGUUGUUGCAGAUUUUGGUCGCGAUUUGAGAAAAACUUAGUUUGAACUCGUUCUAGAAAACCCCGAUUUCUGGCUGUAUUUGUAAAUGCGGUUGAUUCACAAAUCCGAUUGAGCUCAAAAUUUGGGGAGAUCUUGGAAACAUAUUUGCUCAGGUGUGUGUAAAAUUUCAUCUCAACCGGAGUUCGUUUGGUUCAGUUUUGGAUUCAAGAUCAGAAUUUCAUAUUGCUGAAAACAACACUUGUUGAUGACAUGUUUUGGAUCGUUUCAAACUUUUUGGUGCCUGAUUUACGAUCCGUUUAUUUUGCUGGUCUCAUGUGAGUAUUAGGAACAUUUUGUAAUCAUGAGAUCACUCGUUCGCUGAUGUAUUCAUGGUUUGAACAUUUCUUCAUCUCAAUUGAAGUGGAGUGUUCAU